Lagopus muta (rock ptarmigan) is the source of this 21008-nucleotide long non-coding RNA. RefSeq lists it as uncharacterized. The record is from RefSeq and is a predicted model, not a curated record. The transcript has 5 exons. NCBI's taxonomy places the organism in Eukaryota, Metazoa, Chordata, Aves, Galliformes, Phasianidae.
GCGUGCUGGGCGCGGGCGGCGCCGAACGUUGGCCGCUUCCCGCCUCGGGAUAACGGCUCAUUCCUCUCAGCGCCCGCGGAGCGGUGCUCGUACGGCGCUCCGAUAGCCGGGAUAUCAGUGCGUCCCUCGUGAACCCUGGGGCAAAUUAGCCAAGGCACAAUUGCAUCAGUGGAGAACAAAUUCCACAGUGAAGUCUCGUUCUCUGUGUCCAUAGGAGCACCUGGUCUCUCACAUUGCCCUCCUCAGCUGGUAGAAAGUUGCUAAGGACAGCAUCCCCAGCUGUCACUGCACUGGAGCAGUACAAUGAUUCCUGGAGUAAAGGGAAACACAUGGAAGAGAUCCUGUUUGGAGCCAGGGUGCUCAGCGUGGCAUAUCUGCAUGGAAGCUGCAGGAGGACAUCAGUCUUUGCAUUAACAUUAACUACCGUGGCUAAGAGAAUAUAUUAGCAACAGCUUCACUAAAGGUCAGGACACAGAGAAGGAAUAUCAAGAAGCAUUGUACAGAGGACAUAAUUUUAAAGUAAAGUGCUGAGUUUCAGCCCCAUUCGAUCCGAGUUGAAAGGACUAGACGGAAAUAAAUAAAGGCAGGCGUGCUUGAGGGACCAAUUAGAGGGCCAUCGAUAGCAGUGUCAGGAAACCCCAGUGGGAAAAAUGGUGGCUUCUGCUACAGUGGUGUAAAUCAGGACAACCACGCCACAAUGAGUCACAUUAUUCAGCAUGUAAAUGACUCUGAGAGGAGAACACAGGAAAACUAAAGGAAACAGCAAAGAUAAAAUAUGACUGGCAGCUGAAGACCAAUGUCUCCAAAGGAGAAACAGGAAACUGUAAAGACUAACAGCAAUUAAUAACUGGAAUGUGCAGACAGAGGAGCAGAGGGGAUCAGGUUUUGUUCUCUCCCAGCUACAGUGCUGGUGGCCACAGGCAGCAGUCCCAGCCAUCCCAACCAUUCCGACAGGAAGCCAUCAGCACCACCACUAUCUGGCUGCUUCACUGCUUCCUUCAUGUGAUUUGUUGGAAAUCUAUGUUUCAGUCAAGCAGAAUAUUUAAACAGGACUCCAGUACUUUUCAUAUCAAAAAUACAGAAAGGAGUUGCUUGCUCCAGGAAUGUUAAAAAACAAGUUAUCAUCUGGCUUGUAUCAGAAACAGUGCAGCCAGCAGGAGCAGGGAGGUGAUUGCCCCUCUGUACUCAGCUCUGGUGAGGCCACACCUCAAGUGCUGUGUUCAAUUUGGGCCCCUCACUACAAGAAGGACAUGGAGGCCCUGGAACGUGUCCAGAGAAGGGCAACAAAGGUGUGAGUUCCAACACUUUGCUUCAUAUGUUCUUCCAUGUCAGACACCAUUCUGUCAUACUGCUCCUCUGCUGCCAUCUGUCACAUGGCAACAACAUGUAAUGGAAUACUGGUGGGAAGGUUUCAGCCCCUAUUGCCAUACCACCAAUACUGGCCUCUGAUGUUGCAGAACAACAUAAUAAAAUAGCAGGCUUUACUUUCGGAGCAGCUCUUGUAAAAUAUAUACAGUACAGAGCAACAGAACCAUAAAACUAGCAGGAUGUUUGACCUCAUUUUUGUGAAACUGAUGUGCCAGUCUGAUUUGAUGGCAAUGGCUGCAAUUCGUAGUGAGUUCUCAAGGUGCUCGUCACUUUGUACCAAGUUUUACUUUUCCUGCGCUUCAUUCAUGACAAGUUGCUCAAUAAUGUGCAUAUUGCCAAGAGAAAUAACAUGAAUAAGGCGUGACUGUGAAGCGAGGGAUAUUUUUCUCUUUCAAGAGAGAUCUUAUAAAAGCCCAGUAAGGGGACAUGAUCCAAGUUUGAGUUGGAUAGCCAAUUGCAACUCUAUACAUUCCACUUGAAAAUGUGCAGGUAAUGUUGACUGAAAAUGGAGUCAAAACAUAAAAUGAUCAUUUUCUGGGCAACCUUGAAGCCUAUUCUCACAUUCCUGUAUCAAAACAAAGAGCACAGCUGCGUAUUUGUCACUGUUCACAGGACGGUGUUUAGCCAAUGUACCACACUGCACACAAUUAUCUGCCAUCAAUUUACUUAGCUCCUGUGCUGUUACAGGCAUAGAGCACGCAUUGUUGAAGGGAUGUACUGCAUGCAGAUGCAUUGCUCCGCCGUUCUGCUGGGCUUAUUUACUGUAUAUUUAUUCAAAGGUGUCCCUGCCGGGAGCUGUUCCUGCAUUCUCAUUCACUGUCAGUUACAUUGCCAGAAACAAGGCAGCACCUACAGCAACGUUACUAUUGCAUUACAGCUAUUUCCUUAAGAUGACCUUGGGUCUGAGAUAUUUAUCAGUGGGAAAAUAAAACAAAAACAGAGGAGGAAAAAAAGAGACAUAGUAGCAGUUUGCAACGAUUUGUGAAGGUGGUGUGAUCCAAGCUUGCAAACUGCAGGCAAACACAUCGUGCUUGCUAAGGCAGUAUAAAGGAUCUCUUCCUUAGAGCUCUGCGUCAAGUUAUGCCUCUGCCUAAAUUAAUGCUCCCAAUUAGUCCUGUUUUAUUGUGCAUCCAUCACAGGAGGUUCACUGUUAGGGCUCUGAACAAUACAGAUCCAUAUACCAGUAAUUAUGAAAAAAAUACAUUUAGCAAGAUGCAAAUGUUUCAUAUUUAUCAGCAGCGCCUUGGGCCCUCUAUCAUUUUUUUUCUGACAUAUUUUUAAUUUCCUCAGUCAAAUUAAUAUUUGCUUUUAGUAAAUAAGUGCAUUCAAAAACUCUUUGCACUGAGUUCAAGCUUGACUCCUGGUUGUUUGGGUUUUUUUUUCAGCGUAUCUGUAGAAAGAAGCUCUAGCUAUACCAUGCAUGUGUCGAAGGCAGAGGCUGAGAUUCCAAGCUACGUGGCACAGACAUGUAGAGGAAAAAGGGAAUCCAGACUUAUUCCUUGAAUCUGCAUCAUAUUACCUAACUCACUCAGGGCUGCUUCCAAACUUUCUCUUUUUUAUGUGUAAAAUCUUUGGCGCGUGUUAAAAAUGCAUGUAGAAUAGCUUAGAAAGGACUGAAGGGAUGGUGCAAGGAUUGAAUGUACUUCAGGCACAGACCAAAAUUACGGUUCCAGAAUAAGCCUGUGGUUUUUAAGGGACAAAUAACUGCCACAGUAAUUAUUUAAUGGAGCUAAAACUUUCCAGGUUUGGAGUCGGUCCAGCUGUGAUAUAUUUCCAGAAACAGGAGAAGGAGCAGUGCAAGACUCAGCCCUAAUCUGAAGCAGAAGAAGUGUACAUCAUCUGUGUGCUCACUGGAGCACAGGAGCAGCUGAGCAUAAAGAGCCUUUCUGCACGGAACAGCCGCUCUCUGCAGAGCAUGAUUGAAGGCCGUGUAUGAUGACAGUAGUCCUUGGGAGCUAUUUUUAAAAUGAUCUCCAGAAACAAAAUAAAUGUAUAUGUUUUUUAAAAUGAAACAUUACAAGGAAUUGUUGGAAACCAAAACAAGUGAUGCUAAGCUUUAACUUGAGCAAGGGCUUUCCUCUGGUUUCUUACUGCUCCCUCCCUAAAACCCCUGUGAUCCAAGAGGAUUGUACAUGCAGCACUGAACUGUCCUAACAUCUCUGUCUCAUCAUCUAUCCCAGACCUUGAUGCCUGUGUGGACAGAGACAUGGAUGAAGGAGAAAGGGCGUUGCUGGAAAGCCAUACUUCUGGGUUCUUGGAAUGGCUGCAAGAAAGACGUGCCCAAGGAGAGACUGAGUCACGGUGGAGACAGCUGCUCUGCUUCAUUUCUGCAUGAAAGGGAAAUGUUUUAAAUCUCACUCCCUUGAUGGGUCCAGAACAGUAAUGGCCUGGGCAGGAAGAGGGUAGAUCAAGCUUUGGGCUACACUCAACACACAAGUUUUUCCUACUUGCUGCCAUGCAGCCCAAAUAGCAGCCUGAGAGAAGAACCACCCUGAGAUCCUAGCAGGGAUGACACCAGCAUGCUGCUACAGAAAUUAGUCUUUAAAAUCCUUCAAAUUUUAAUAAAGGUCAGUAUCUUCUUCUACAACAUGCUAAAAUUUGUCCUGUGUGACUCAACGUAGGCUUUUAACUCCACAAUGCACUAGCUUUUCCACUAAAGACUGAAGUCAAGAGUCAAUGGAUCAUUGCUCUCCAGUCACACAGGGAUGAAUGGGUGGAUGGAAGAAGAUCGUUUGCCUUUUCUUGCAGCAUGAUUUGUGGGAUUCGAUCUGACCCAUCCUUUUGGAUUUCUGGCACAGGCAACCCAAAUUUGGCCAUCUCACAUGCAACUGAGAGCAAAAGAUCAGACCCUUAGCUCAAUGAGUCGUUUGGCCCUAUGAAACCCAAAAAGCACAGACAACAUGGAGCCAUCCUGGGGCUGGCUCUGUAGCUGGAAAGUUGCAAGGCCAAGAGCACUUCAUUGUUGGAUGAUAUUUUUACAACUCAAAGUCAGAAGUGCAGAGCAACCCCUUUGGAGCUCCAGCCUAACAACUGCAGCACAGGUCAUUAAUGGGAUCACGUCAGAACGUGCUCUGCCCUACUGUUGAGCUACCAGCCUUGAACAAACACACUGAUUGCAAGGAGAAAGAGGAAAGGGAAGAGAUAGGGGAAGGGAGAAGCUGAAUAAUAUUUUUAGAUGACAGGACAAAAUAACCAAUUGUAAUCUCAAUUUAAAAAAAAGAGUCACCCAUUCAUUGUCAGCAAUGAAUCUGAUCAAACUCAACCUCCACAGAAUAAUUGAUGCUGAUGGGGAUUACGCAAAUGCCGUUCUUAACAAAUGCCUGACGGUGUACAUUUACAUUUCUUUCAGUGAGGUGGAUAUGAUUACGCUGAAGAGUCUUCUUGUCCAAAGAAGAAAUCUCUGGAUUGACAAUCCAUCCCUCCUGCGUACUCACAGGCACAGGCAGGUGACAGCAGCAGUUGUGGGGGAAAAAGGCUGGGCACAUCUGUGUUAUUUUUAUCAACAUACACAUUAUAUGUGAUACUUUGAUACUUCACUUUUGUUAUUAAUAAACAGACUGGAAAAAAAAUGUUGUCUUUCAUAGUUUAGAUCCAAGCCCCUCUUCCAGUAAGCACAUUAAGAUCUUUCAACAGUCAAAAGUUAGAAAAAACUAUUGAUGCUGUCUGCACAAGAAAGACAGUCCCAAGAAUCAGGUGGAGCACGCUGAGAUGGUCUGAAAUGUCCAAGCAUUGCACUCUCCUUUGGGACAGCAGAUAUAAAUCCAGAUUUGCAAGACUACUUGUUAAAACUGUAAAAGACCCCGGGCCAAACUGUCUCAUAGGAUGCAGCAUGAUCCAGACCUACAGCAAAAUCUCAUACUGAGUAAGCACGGUAUACAGCUUAUGAAGACAGAAGACAUUUAAAAGGAUGACUGCUCAUUCAAAGUGAAGCCACAAUCAGAUUUACUUACCUCCAAACGUACCUCACAAUGACUGAGGCUUGGCUCGGUCAAGUGCUCUGACCGGUUAACAAGAAGCAAAAUAAUCUGGAACAGAAUGGAUGAGACUCUAUGUUGAUGCACCAACCUGAGCUAAACCCUGCUGCUGGCUGAGCAGAACACUGCUGCAAGGGAUGGCAGAGAAAAGCUUUCCUAAGCUCACCUGAUACAGCACACGACAAUCCCAAAAUGGGCAGGGACUGGAAAAAUCCACUCUCUGUAAAUAUGCUACAGAUAGAAGAAGUUUUAGCAUGUCUAUUCCUUUUAACCAUUUGCAGCUUAUCAUCCCAGGAUACAGGGGCAAUUUACCAAAGGGCUCCAUUGGUGAAACUUUGUGGCAUUUCAUUUGAGGCCUCAGCUUGACAGAAACAAUGUUUCCCUAAUGAAAACCCCAUACCAAAGGCUGGCUCAAACCCACGCAAUGGAUGUAUGUGACUGAUCUCACAACAUUUCUAUUUAAUCAAAUACAAUCCAUGCAUGUGUUCUGCAUUUCUAAAGAAAGGCAGACUUUCCCAGGUACAUCUUUCUCCAUGUCACUAACAUGUAAUAUCAAAGCCCCAAACUGACACUUAAAUGACAGCAUUACGUCUUCAGUUACUGCUGACUGGAAUGGGGAGGACCAUUAUAGAGAUCUCUGCAGAUAGCAGGUGGAAAGCACUGCUGUGGGGAAGGAAAGGAAGAAGGAAGGACAGAGGAGAUGUUCUAGGACAGGGGGGAGGGAGAAAGAUGGAGAUAGGAAUAGGCAGGGAAAUAGAGAAAAAUGAAAUGGUAGAGCGUGUGUAUUUUCUAACAGUAAUAUUGGAUAUGAGAAAUAAAUGGAUAUGGGGAAUAAAGAACAUUAUCUGCAAUUGUUGUAUUUCUGAUCAUCGUGCUAGCCUCCCACUGAUAUGGCUGAGAUACCUCCUCUGAGCUGAGUGCACAUUAUUUGUACUUCAACUCACAGAUUGGCAUCAGAGCACGAGUUGGGCCUUUCAGGCAGAAUAAAUCCAACAUUCUUCCUUUCGAUCUGUUUAGCAUUUGAGGGAAAAAAAACUUUUUCAUAAAUAUGUACAGGAUGUGCCAAGAUGAAUCUGCCAUCAGAAUGGCAUUUUGGUGGGACUGCACUGCUGCAAUUGAAAGCAGAAUUUGGCCUUCAACUCUAAUUGCUCCCAACUCUAGAAGUACUGAAUUGAUUUUAUUCAGACAUGAACUGUUUUCUCCUUCAUCACCGAGGUCUAUAAAACAAGGCGAGUUCAAAUUUCCUAGCGUCAGCUCUUCUUGAGUUAUGAGGGCAGAGAAGCUGCAACCGGAACAAAUAGGAGUAGCUGGUUUCUCUUCACGCCCACAUAUCAUAAAAACAGCCAAGCUGAUUUUGCUGAGAGUUCUCAAAAAUAUUCACCUAUAGGCUGGAGUCAAGCCUGAGAAGUACCUUGCCCCACCUGAGGAAUGUGCUUUGGGAAAUCUGGUGCAGCUGAAAAAUGGAGGGGAGCCUGGAGACAGAAACUGAGCUGAAGCUGUAAUUGUGGUUUACUUUCACAGGGCUAAUAAACAAUUCUCAAUUCUUGGCCAUAAAUCAGCUUUGCAAGGAUGCAACUUGUUCCUGAGUGGGCCUGUGGCUUUCUCCUUUCCUAGAAGAGACAGUUUUGCUCUGAGAUCAGAUAAUCAUAGGCUGUUUGGGGUGAUUUAAAUCUGUUUCAUAUGUCUGGCAGACACAACUCUGCCGUGAUGACCACUGGGAACAUCUGCAUGGCUUUACCCAGCUCCUCACUCCCCACCAGCUUCAGCAGAGCUCUCUUUCAGGUUCAGCCUCGCAGCCAGAACCACACGAGCUGCUGCAAAGCCUGUGCUGUGGUUUUAUCAUCACCCAACACAAUGAUGGCUUUUACAUCAAGACACGUCUUGAUCCUAUCACUCCUUCAGGCACUGCAGGGACACUGCAGUUGUUGUGACUUGCUAACCCAUUCAUUUUUCAAGAAACAUUUGAGCCCACGCUCAUCUUCUGCAACUUUGGAAAGAGCAAAAUAGAUUUAUUAAAAUUUGAGCCUGUGGAAGCAAAAGCCCAGGUCUGUCUGCUCAUAAUGGAGGAUGCUGCUUCAAAUAGGAAUUUAAGCUUGGUGCCUAAAAACUGACCUCCUUUGUUGCACAUGAUGCACAGAAUAGCAGCAAAGGACAUUUUGGUUCUAGAUGUUCUUGUUUGGCUCAAAAAUAUUCGCACUUAAAAAUGUUCUGAGCAUCACGGCACGCACAUCCUUAGCCAAAGGCACUGAUUACAAAACACCAUGUAUGCUACCCUGCUUCAUGUGUCACUCCCAGGACAGGGAGUCUCCAGCAGAGCGUGCAGCCACUGAAGAUAUCACAUGGGGCCACCAUGUGAAAACAUGUCAUUACUCAGUUGUCAUGCUGUCAAACGCUGCAAGCACUCACUGCUCUAGUGAGCCAUGAAUGACUCGGUUUGAUCCCGAUCAAGCUCUUCUGGCAGACACAGGAAUACCGAGGCAGAAGUGCCCAUACCAAAGGAUGCCGAGUUUUGGGGGCAAUCAAGGGCAAGUACUGUGGGCAGAAGACAGCAUUUCCUCAAGGACCCAGGGCAGAAAGGUGUCCUUUAGCAUUUAAAGCCAUGCAGGAACACAAUACUUAUGAUGGAAAGUGACUAUAAUUCACACGUGCCCUCAGAGGAAAACGUGGCAGCAUCAUGAACAGGAGCAGAGAGCUCUGUCAUAAGGAGAGCUGGGAUGCAACGUGAUUAUCAUGUUAACCGCUUCACUGCCCUUUGGAUGCUUGGCUCACAUUCAGCAAAGUGACAUCAAUACGGUGCUCAAGGCAAGUGCUGCUAGGCAUCACAUUCAACUAAAAUGUCAAGAGGAGCCCUGGAGGCUGUGGGGACCCUUGCGGGAUGUGAGGCUGGUCAGCAAAGUGCUGCAGAAACUACUGGGAGAGCUGAGAAUUGCCUGGGAGGAGCACUGUGCCAGCCAGGUGCACACUCGCUCAGUGACACAUGCAGCACAUUGCAUGGGGAUAACAUUGUGUGAUCUAAAAGAGGGGAGAUUGACAUUGGAUAUAAAGAAGGUUGCCCAGAGACAUCCAAGGUCAGGCUGGAUGGGGCUAUGAGCACCUGAUAUAGCUGUAAGUAUCCCUGUUCAUUGCAGGGGAGUGGGACUAGGUGACCUUUUAAGGGUCCCUUCCAACUCAAGUGAUUCUACAAUUCUAUGAUUCUGGGAUGAUUUCUGGGAGGCAACCAAACUAAGGAUACAUUAACAACUCUAUACAGCAAACAUUAGGUAAAGCCAAAAUAUUAAAUGCACUUUUGGCCUUGCCUUACUAUUAGCCUUUUAGAGUAGACUAGAUAUUUAGAUAUAGACUAGAUAUUAGAAAUAAAUUCUUUACUGUGAGGGUUGUGAGACGCUGGAGCAGAUUGCCCAGUGAGGCUGUGAAAUCCUCCUGUGCAGAGGCAUUCAAACCCAAGCUGAAUGGGACUUUGAGCAACCUGGUCUAGUAGGAGGUCUAGUGGGUAUAGAGGCUUAUAGCAGGGGAGUUGGAACUAGAUGAUCUUAAAGGUCCCUUCCAACCCAAACCGUUUUAUGAUUCUAUGAUUCCCUUCUUGUGUCUUCAGCUUGGUAAAUGAAUUUUGAUUUGUACCUUGAAGGCCAGUUCAAACACUGAUGAAACUGUGCCUUCUGUCUGCUAGCAACCAAGAGGCAUGGAUGGAACCCCCUAUUCCAGUACUACCUGUGAGUUGUACCCAUAUCCCAUAUCCCAUGUUGGACCUCAGCUACAGCAGGGCCAGGGCUUUGCUGGAAAUGGCUUCUUCAGGCCUGACUGCAGUAGAGCCAUAGCCAGAAUCUUGCCCCUUUAGCAAAUAAAGGUUCAUUUCCUACACAGUCUAUCUUUUGUCUACUCCUUAAUCCAUCAGUGAAGUUACAAAGUCCAAUUUCCAUGGCAACAGACUGUGAGGUCAGGGAGAAAGUAUUAUGCAGGAUUGAGGAUCUGAAGUGGAUGUAAGGAAGGAAAGGAUAAAAUUACUUUAAAAAUUAACAGUCAUAGCAAAGUGAAUAAUGAGGGGGGGAAAAAAGACAGGUUAGAUAAUCUGCACCUGGUGGGAAGAUUCCUGGCAUUUUUCAAGACAGCUGGUGCCAGCAAAACAGACCUUUGCAGAAUCCCAGUUUGAGUUUUCGCUCCCUUUGAAGUCAACCACAACUCCAAUGGGGAGAAGAUGUGAGUAUCAAGUACUGCAGAGGAAUUCCCAACAAUCAGGAACAUUUCUCAGCACCUGCUUUGCUGAGCAGGGAUGCAACAUGCAAUGUUGGCCCCAGCCUUCAGUGAAAGAAACCCAUCACCUCCAAUCACAGAUUGCAGCACAGGGAGAUUUCAGACAUUUUUAUUUCCAGAGAAUGUGUCAAUGUUUUUCCCUUAAAUAUCUGCUCACAACAAUUGGGACCGCAGCCUGCAGCUGUAUCUAAUUAGCAAUUAGUUGUUCACACCUAGCACAGCCCUAAAGCUGGCACCCACAUGGGUACUGCCAGGAGUCCUGCACAACAACUGAGGAGAGAGGUAGGAAUAGGCCUUUUCCUUGACAACAUUCCCAUUCAUUUGCUGAAGCCUGGGGCUGGACAAAUUGUCACACAAUUUCUUAUUUUUCUGCAAGAAAGCUGGUAGUUCUCUCACAUUUUAAUAGGGUCUCCUGCUGUGCUGGGGACACAAAGCAGGAGCAGCUCCAUGUGAUGCCCUCACCGUGCCAUCACAUCUGUCAUGCUGCAGCAUCUCCAAGGGGCUGCAGCCCCUGCACACCAUGACACCUACUGCAUUUCCACCUUUGUUACCACCUUCCCCUUCUAGGAGAUGAUCCAGUACCUACAGUUCUCUGGAGACAUGUAAUUAAGCGUGUCGCCCCUCACCAGAUGAAACCUGCCAAUUCAUUAUGCUAAGGGCUUGCUGCUUGUACCCCAGGAUGUGUAUUUCCCCCCAGUAAGUCUGCCUUCCUCCUUCCUGCUGGCUCAGCAGAUGCUGCACAUCAGAGACUGAAGCUUGGGGGUCUCUGCUUGCCCCCCAGAGGAGCUUUCUCUGUUGCUCAGGCAAAAAGGGAAGGCAGGUAGUGUCAGUCCUGAAAGCACGCUGGUGCUGCGAGGCGAGGGGGGAGCAGACACAAGGAAAAACCUCCAUCUAGGAUUUAUAAUUGUGACUCAAAGUAUUGUUUUUUCCACUGCUUGAUCUGAGAGCAUAUUUGAGUUGAUCUGAAUAUCAAAGACAUUCAGAAAGGCGGGGAAAUAAAACAGCAGGGGAAGAGGCACCAAGAUGGUAGUGCAGAUAGCCCGGGUUAAGGAUGAAUAGAGGGGACAUGCCUGGCCAGGAGGUACAGCUGCUUAGAGAUGGUUAUUUUUUCCUGCUUCAUUUUCUCUAGUAAACAUCUUAUGGUCUAUUCAUAGGCUACACGUACUGUUUUCGAUGACAGUGUUUCCUGAUGUGGGGUGACACUGCAGCUAUAUGAUACAGCUUUGCCCUGAAGUACUAUGCAGUAAUAUCUGCUGUAAGGUAGUUCCUCCAAAUUGAACAAACUCCAAACAGAACAAAUCCAGAGCUUGACUUGGCUCCCAUGGAUGCACGCUUACCACACCGAGCCAGAUAAAAGGACAGACAAAACCUGUGGGAUGAAAUGACACUCUACAAGCCUGAAAAGAGGAAUGUAUGUGCAUGGUGGGACACAGCAGAGCUGCUGUGGUGUUUCUCAUCCACAGUGCAUGGCUGUAGGAAGGUGAAUGUGCUCAGGUCCAUAAUAGACAGGAGACAGUAUGUUCAUAGCUGCCCUGUAGGAGGAACAUACAGAAGUGCUAAUCGUGCCAUUUGGCCUGACAGACCAGAUCAUCACUUCUUUUAUUGGUAUUUCCCUCUUCCAGCAAAAUACUCCUCCUCUACAAUGCCAGAAGAGCCUGGGAGGUAUUAGGAGAGAGAAUGCCAACUCCAGCAUGUUCCCCAUCGCUCUGGCUCUACAUAAAUCCUUCACUGGGUCACAUACAUGAAUAAAAACCACAGCCUGCUUUUAUUAUCCAAGGUCCAUCAGUAACAGAUGACAGUGUUGUCACCAACAGGAUGGCUGGAUUGCCAAUGGCUUAAAGGGAAAUGCAGCUAUAAAAUCUUAUUCAUAUAUAUUGUAUCUGUGUGUAUAAAUAUCUAUGUGCACCCUGAUGUGUAUGUGCAUACAGAUAUGUAUGCGUAUAUAAACAGAAACCUACAAUUACUAUUUUCACACUCACAGGUUCUUAGAAUGCUCCUACGAUGUCAUUAGCAUUAUUAUUUUAUUAAUUCUGUUUUCCUGCUGUCUUGAAUUUAAACAUAGCACAUACGGUACUGAAAUGUACCAUAAUCAGUCUUCCUUUAAUUCUGAGCUACGAUUCCUCGCACUUUUCCCCAUAUGUUGUUUUGUGGGUUAGCUCUGGUGUGACUUCCUUCCCUUCCUUAUUGGUAUCGAAAUAUUCUUGCUUCUGAUUCCUUCAUUGCUCCUAUUGAUUUCACACAUUUCCUUCACAUGAUCACGGGUACUGUUUUCACAAUUUGCACAUUUUCACCCAUCUAUAAAUUGGCUCUCAAACAAGUCAGUCAAAAUCACAUUUUGAUUUAAAAAAAGACAUUAACAAAGUCUUUUUUUUCCCUUCUAUCCAGCUUUCAGAUCAGUUUUGCAAUGACUUAACAAAAUCUUGACUUGUUUACCUGUAGUUUCCAGGUUGGAUUAUAGUUGCAUUUGGGGUUCUCUUUUUAGGAUCUACUCCAAGCUUGGCAGCUCCUUAAAAGUUGUGUGCUCUUCUCACAACUUGUCAUCUUCCAUCUUUAUUCUGGCAUUGCAGUUGGCUACCUUUGGAGUCUUAAAAUUAGCAUGUUAUUAUUGUUUCUGAAGACCCUUUAGACUUUGACUCCUACCUAUUGGAGAAAUUUUGAUUUCUGUUUAUGUACUUGCUCAUAAUUUGGGUUCUGUUUCCAAUCUGUCACUUGCUAAACCAUCUGUGCCAUCUGGAAUGUGCCUGGCCCCAAUUUGGGGGGAUUCUCUUCCUUAUGAAAUUCAUGAGAUUCAGCCUGCAGAUGCUUUCACUGCUUCUCUGACAAAUUUAGUUAAUUUGGCAGCUUUGAGGUUUGCAUUUUUCUCAGUUUGUAGGGCUGUAUUUGUUACUAUGCUAUAGGUGCUGGGGGUCUAUGGAACACAUAUACACUAGAAACCGUCAAGUAUCAACAGCUUUGACAUAAAAGUUAACACUAAGAUUUGGCUAGUCAAGAUCCUUAUGAGCCAUUUUUUCUCUUGUGUGCCAUAAAAUCAAGGGAACUUGAGAGUGCAGGUAUAACAUAAAUGAAAUUCACAGCUGAACAGAAGGUCAUCAUCAAGUUUACGUUUCAUAUCAAGUAGCACUGCUGACACAGCAUCCUGGAAGAGCUGGAAUUGCCAAUACUCUGCCUCAAAUAUUCCAGAGAGUUGAAAUCAUAACUUACCUAUCAGCAAACCCUGAAAGGUUUUAUAGAUGAAGAACCGUUGCUGCUGAGUAACAAAAAUAUACUGGAGAUCUAGGGAUUUGACUUUGAUGCUUUUCAACCAACUUGGUGAAUGCAGCAGGUUGAUGAAGGCUAAUGAAUCUGGCCAGGCUUUUGGUGGAUUACCUGAAUGACUCCAUGUUAAUCAAAAUAUAUUGGACCAACUAUGGGUAAAAUGGAAGUAAACAGAGCAUUUGUGCUUCUAAAUCUGGCGUUAGAGAGGUUACUCACUUAUCAACAUCUAGGCUGAAAGAUCUUACAGCAACUUAUUCUUUUUUUUUUCUAUUAUUUGAUGUCUCAACUCUUUUCUGGUCACAUUCAGCUCCUAUAAAUGAAUGCAUUGGUGUACAAUGAUAGAAAACUUGGUCCAAAGAGUACAGUGGUAACGUAAGACAAAUAUCUUUCUAUUAGAUUUCACUGAAAGCAAAAGGAAUUUUUCCAUUCAAUUUCCCCCACUCUCCCAGACAGAAAUUAUCGAAUGUGAACAUGUGAAGUUAAGUAUGUGAACAUAUAUUCUAGCACCUUACAGAAGUCAGCCCACUGUCAGAAAGGUAAUCCCAUCCAGUUGAAGGGAUUUGAAGAAAAUGAAGAAACCCAGGUAAUGAAAAAACUGAAACCAAAAGGCACAUAAAAGGCACAGAAUCACAGAAUCCUUAAGAGUUGGAAGGGACCUUUAAGGGUCAUCUAGUCCAACUCCCCUGCAAUUAACAGAGACAGAGCAAACACAGAAGGGGAAAAUAAACAGGCAUGGAUGGCUGUGUUUUCUUCUCCUGCACAGGGAGUCUUGGAGCUGUAUUUUGCAUUAUUAACAGCAAGCUAACUGCCACAGCUUGAAGCUCCCACUGAGGUGGGUGAACCUGACACCAAUCCGUAGAUGUAUGCUGUAUUUAUAUAUCACUGCCACCCCUUCAGAUGUCUUAGCUGUUCUGGUGAUUACAGUUGUGUUCAGUAAUACUAAAACGCACAAAGAAGCCAUCUGAAGUUAAAAGGUUCUAUCUGAAUUUAUAUUUGUUGAUUUCAUUAAUGCUAAAGUCUCCUUUGGAAGAUGCAAAGUUCUGUGGCUUGAGUUGAUGCCAACGGGAAACAUCCCAGCAGGAAGACUGAUGUGUGCUUCAUCAGGAUGCUGGAAGGAGUCUGUCUGCUGGCCAAAAUCUCUCUCCUACUGUUUAUAAAACACUAUCUCACUCAGCUAGCCCCCUUUUUACAGUUCAUUACUGCACAGUCUUUUAAAAGAGUUGGCUGCUAUUCAACCUCAUGGAUUCAGAGUUGCAGAAAAGCACCUUUCAGGGCAUCUACGCGUCCCUCCAACCUCCUGGCUACUCAAAGAACUAGGUAAUAUUUCACUAGGUCUUGUGCUUAGACAUGCCCUGUUCUUUUCUCCCCCGAUAAUCCCAAGUGAAAAGAAAAUCCAUCGAUCCUGUGUACCACAAGUAAUUAGAACUGGGGCUGCAUAUCAUUCCGGUGAGUAGCAUGGGUCAGGAUUUUAAACAUGAAAUGAUUUUCAGUGGAUUCAGCACUCUGUCUCAGCACAAUGCAGCCUAUAAAUUGAAAAUGCCUUUAAAAGAUGGAGUUCUUAUUCUUCAUUGUCUUCAAUUAAUGCUACUAUAAUUUAGAAACCAAGCCGAUAUUUUUUGUUUGUUGGAAGCCAGAAUUACACCGAGAGAUAUCACCAUUGUAUGUGCAAUUACUUUUAAUUCUCCUAACAAUUUUUACGAUUCCUUUCAAAUAAUUUGUCCCUCUUGUGUAUUCAUAUUUUCACUUUUCAUUGCAGGCAUUUAAUUUUUAUUACCACAAGAAAGCAUUCUGAAACCCUUUUAUGAUGAGUUUGUUUAAUUUAUCUAGUCAUUAGCCUGUGAUGAAAGUGAUGCCUCCAACAAAUCAGUCAAAAACCUUGUACUGGCAAUAUAUACAGAUCUGUUGUGAGGGGUUAAUCUUUUAUUAGAUUACAGUUACUCUAAAAGCUGGUAUUCAGUAGUUUAAUAGCUUUUCUUAAUUCUAAUCUUCUGCACUCUAAGAAAUAGCUAGAAGUAGAAGGUCUUUGAGCUUUAAUGCAGUUGCAUGGUUUCCUUUGGUAAUUAUUUACAUUUUUAUAAAUUAAAAAUUCUUUUUUUUUUUUUUUUCCCUUUCCAGACAACUUCAUCAACAUUUGAAUAAAACAUUUAGGAGCAAUUGAGAGAUCCAAACUAUUUCUUGUCCUUGCAAGAUGGAACUGUAAAUCUCCUUUCAGAGCAUGUACUUCUCUUGGCAAUGAGCAAUGGUUUGGGGCUUGGAGGUCUCUGGUUGGGACCAAGAUUGGCCAAACCAAAAUCGUUUGCUGGGGUCUGUUAGGAGUGUGCUUAAAGCUUUUGUGGCUUUGGUACAGUUGUUGCCAUAGUAAACGUUUUUGCUCACUGACAUGAUUACAAAUUUUGAUUAACAGUUUCAUGUACAGCAGGAGGAACCUGAAAUGAAACCAGCUUUGUAACUGUGGGAACCACACUAAAGAAAACCAAGGAAAACAGAUGAUAUUUUCACGUAAUUGGAAUAUGCUAAGGAGUGAAGAAAUUGCUGAUUCCUGAGGAAUUUGCCAAUUUUCUUUUCAAGCCUCUUUCUAAUGCACUUACAAACGCAUAAAUUGUUCUAAUGCUCUUUCGGUCAUAAAAAGCGAAUCUGUAGGGGAAGAACUGUUUUUUCUUGUCAAGUUGGGCACCCUGCCUCGUUACAGAAAUGAAGACAGCCUGCUUCCUUCUCACCAUGCCACCGUGAUCAAAGGAGCAGGAUGCGAAAAAUUUCCUCACUGGAACAUGCUGUUAUUCAAAGCCCUUUGUAGGCACCUCACAGCAAAACACAAGUGUCUGGUACAAGAUAAAAAAAGGCGUGCAUGUACUUAUUUAUUCAGGAUGGCAUUUUGCAUUCCAAAAAGAAACAUACGUAUGUAUCUGCACAUGUGUGUCUGUGUAUGCGGUCUCUAAAACUCAAUCUGUGGGGCCUUCUCCUUCCCCCGGGGCCAAAGCUGAGCCCUGAUGAGGACCUGUGCUGGCUGUGCUGGCUGCUGGCAGGGCUCUGCCAUCCCUCCUGUCACCAGGCAACGCUAUCAGCCAUGCUGCACGUGUGCGCUGGACAUUCAUCACCACUUUGUAUUUCCAGUUCUGCAUUUUACUUUAGAAAUGGAAGGUGUUCUUGAGUGAACAAGGUUGGUUCACAAGGUGGAUGUCAGUGUGCAUACCCAGCCUGCACACUCCAGCCCUGCUCCAGCCUCACUGGAUACGCAUCAGCCAUUGGUUGCAGUGCAAUUAAACUCUGAAUUCCCCAGAUGUGUGGGGGGAAGUGUGCAAUGUCACCUGAACUGGGGACUUCACUAUAUGAAUACGCUGCCAUCCAGUAAGCUGCAGUGAGACCCUAGCUGGUUUCGACGUCAGGAUUUGGAUGUGUGAAGAGGCAGGGUUGUUAUAAGAUAACUCGGUGCAUGACACGGCCAGCACGUGGUGAUCCAUCUGCAGGGAUGGACACGUCGGAACAGAUUUGAAAAUGUUCCAGGAGGCACAAGACAUGACUUCAGAAAGGGAGAAUUAUCUAUCAUUACCCUGCCUAUGGCUUCACUUUAUUACACAAUACUUCCAGUCUCCUACAAGAAUCUCCAAGAAAGAAUGCAGGGUAUAUGGCUCUUCUAAUCCUCAUAAAUCUGGAAUUAACCCAAUUACAGAGAAGGGCCAUCAUUAAAAAGGAGUGACUGUGCAACCACCUUUUCAACGUCACUGUCACUACACUGACAAUUUAAUUAAAACUGCAGUGCAUUUAGUUAUAUUAGUUCCUAUCAAUACAAAAGAUACAGAUAUUUUUUUUAUUUAAAUCUCACAAUGUACUUCAGCACUGCUACGCAGAGAUUACACCAGCAGAUUUUAUCAUUCCUGACGAUACAUGACUAUCUCAAAAUAAAAUCCUCAUCUUCACACGAGAUUUUCGUGCCAGAAUGUAAAUGGAAAUGACUAGGAACAAUCACCUUAACCACAGAAACAUGACUCUGAGCGUAUGAAGAUCGUGUUCUUUAUAUCAUACUCAACACUUCUGUCUUGUACACCUCUGGCUGGUGAAGGGAAAGAAAAGAGAGAAGAAAAAAAGGAAGAAGGAAAGGAAAGAGGAAAAAGAAAACAGAAUGUGAGGGAAUUACAAGGUAAGCAAGUGAGAGAUUGAUUUUAAAUUGAUUGUACUUUUUUUUUUCUGGUCAGCAGAACUCCACUGUGAUUCUGGUCUCGCACACUCAGGUGUAAAGCUGCAGCAGCUACCUUGAUUCCUGUGGAGGUAGGAGGUACAAAUGCACAUCCAGUGAAAGCUGGUAGAGCUCUCCUUCAAGACUGAAAGUUCUCCUAAGUUUUUCAGUGAUUCCUGACAUCUUCUGUGGCUUUCUUCAAACAUAGGAGAAGUGCAGAAAAAAAUCGUCUCUGAAGUCAAGGAGAUAGAAGCACACUGAAGGGGCAAAGGUUGUCUUUGACCUCCAGCUCUUUUCUGAUGUACUAGUCUCUCUGAAAUGUGAAAUUCAGAUUUGACCUCUGUCUAUUUUCCUGCCAAGCACCUGACUUGCAGUCCUUAUCAGACAGAAGGAAACAGCAGAGUAAGACAUUGAGUAGUUUGCAUGAAAUCAGUAUAAAGAAACAGAUAAUGCUUCAAGUGUCAGCAGGUUGUGUUUGCUGAAGCAAAACCCAGUUCUCCUGAACUGCCAUCAUGGCACCUAGAAAAGAACACAUGCAACUAAAAGCUGAACAAUGCACAAAAAGCCAGUGUUGGCUGAGAGGAGGAUCUGGGGCAGAAAGCUGACUAGAAGGUUAAGCUGUUAUCUGCCAGUGUAACCAGUGCCUCGUGCUCUAAAUGAUUAUUGCUGUGCACGUAGAGCAUGGCUGGAGGGUCCUGGCCACUGCCACAAGCUGAUGGAUGCUGCUGCCUCAGACUACUAUGAGUUGGACUUGAUGAUCCUUGUGGUCACCUUCCAACUCAGAAUAUUCUGAUUCUAUACUAGUGCUGCCUUUACUGCCAAAGGCAAUGUGAAGAUAAGGUGGAUCUGGCACCACCAGAACAAUGGCAUCCAAAAUGCCCACCUGUAGACUCAUGCCUGUAUCUUGCCAGACACCUUAACUGGUGAAGAACAAGAGGUGAAGUUUGCUGAACAGGAAGCAUCAUAGGAAAGGGGAGGGUUAGCUGUGAAGAUAAUCACCUGGGAGAUGAGUGCUGAGUUUUGCUUUAUUUGUACAUGAAAUUCUCAUCAAAAUGAGUCUUUUUCUGCAGGCUACCAAUAAGCAUAACUAGCAGCCAAUGAGACAAGAGCAUCUUUGAAGAUUCAGAUGCAGUGCUCCCCUUGGGAUGACUUGCUAUUCCAGAUUAAAAGCCCUUUGUGAAUCCAGGCAGGGACACUUCAAGCAGCCAAAAUACUAGAUGAGUAUGUUCACCUCGUGAUGCAAGAAUAUCAAAGUUGCUUAGCUUCUAGAGCCAGAUGAACAGCACAGGCAGAAUAAUUUGAUUCAUGCACCCUCUCAGCGCAUCAUUCCUUCCUUCAUCACCUGGAUUUUCAUUUAAAUGCUGUCUGAUUUACUCAACUGCACACAUCAUCUGCAAGGUCACCCAUUUGUCUCACAUUUGCAACUGAAUGUCCCUUUCUGACCUUCCUCUCCCCAGUUCUCUCUCUGCUCCCCAGGUAAACAAGUGGAGCCCGAAUCUGGUGGUGUUGGAUGCAAUUUGAUCUCAGCAGGAUAUCUCACUGUGCUCGGUCACACUGACCUGUUGCAGAUUGGUGUUUAUUACAUUCAUUCACACUUAGGAAAGUAAGUAAACAAAGAAACUAUUCCCCCCAGAAUGUAACUCAACAUCCCAAAACAAUUAUGAACUAAUUAUAAACUGAUUCUGCAUGUAGGACAAUUGAAUGUUUAGUGGAAGGACAAUUACCACCCUGGAAAUCACCACUCUGCAUUUCUUAUUAGCACCAGAAGCAAGAUAUCAGGCAUGGUGAAGACAUGCUGCUCUGCCAAAGACUGAGAAACACACUUGGCUGCAGAAAGCUUGUGCAAGGCUGAACCUCUCAAGAGCAGAGCUGGCAGCAGGGCUCCUACACAGCGUUGCUGCAAUGGCGCUGGGAUUGGAUCUGUUUCAUGAAAAUGGGAUGAUCUUAAUACAAAGUUAUGCUGUGAUGACUGCAGUCGGUGACAGAAAGCCAGAUAAACCUCAAGAUGCUCUGGCUUUGGAAAGAGCAUUGAUGAAACCUUCUGUCUGCAGGAAGAUGGUUGGCUGCCCAGUGUGGAUGGAGUGUGCUGAUGAGUAGGAGUUGCAAGAGACUGCAGAGCAGCCAGCGUAAGCCAGCACUAACAGGAGCUCCAUCUGCAAUGGCUUAAUCCUGAAUGCCCAAUCAGAAGUGCUCCUAGUCAGAAUUUGGUAAAUAUUUGCUAAAAGAUAAAUGAGACCAGUUUUUAACUGUCUCUGCAUUACUCUUUUUUCCUUUCCAAUUUUGAAAAGGAGAGAAAGCAGCUAAGUUUUAGGUAUCAUGGAAUAUAAAAAAAAAUAAUAAUCUACUUGUGUUUUUUUUUUCUGAAGAGAAAUGUCCCUCAGGUUUCUCUCUUGCUUCAAAACCUCAAGAAACUUUCAUGUUUUCAGUUUUAAACAGGUUAGUACAAAAUAAUACUGACAAAAUCAAAAUUUUCAAUGAAAAAUGUGUUAAAAAAACCCCACCAUUAUGAAAAAUAUUAUCUGAAAAAUAGAUCCUUGCUCAAAAAGAACAGAUUCUGCCUGGACUUUCCAUCAUCCCAUGCCUGGAGAGAACAAGAAAUACUGCUUGAGUUUCUGGCCAUGUAGAAUAACCAGCUCUCCAAGAGUACUUAUGUGAGUAUUUAGAGCUUCAUUCAGACAUAGUUGCACAUAGUAGAUGUGGUGAGUCACCCUGCUGUUCUACUCCAGAAGGAAGACCAGGGAACACUCAGGAAGGUGGCACAGCUGCAGGCAUUCAGAGCUGGUCAGAGCUCUCCUUGGCAGCACGACCGCACCUCUGAGCUAAAUAGGUCUGCUUUUGCUUCGUCUCCUCCAAAGUUCAUUAGCAUUGCCCAGCCUUAGGAAGCAACAUUCUUCCCUCUCUUUCACUGCAAGAAAUCCCAAAUCAGUGUCCAGAAUAGCUCCUGGGGUCUCCAGUGAGGUUAAAUCAUGACAUACAGAUCACUGGUCACUAUCACAACUGAACCCAGUAAUGGCAAUGAGCAUAAAGUAAGUCACCCUAUAUUAGCAUUUUCUCUAGCUCAAUGUAAGCUCCUCAGCCAUCAUCCCUUCUCCCAAUACUAAUGCCCCUGCUUAUGUUUUUGCCUUUUUCCCAGUAUCUCCUCACUACACUCUGGUGGGUUUGGUAAUCACGUAAGUCACAGGGCGGCUCUACUUCAUGUUAACCAAGAGUCUUGGCAGUACAAGCUUUUUCGUGUAAAGCAUUUUUUCUCCUUCCUGCUCUAAUUCCUCAGGGCUGUGGAGGAGUGGUGUUCAGCGUGCUUGGUUAAUUUUUAUUAAUGUGAUCUCUCCCUUUCCCUGUACUGGUUACAUGUGGGCGUGAAGUUGAUCAGCGAAGGGAAAAGUAAAGUUACACAUCAUUUGUCUUCUCUUACAUUUCCAUUGAUCAAUCCAUACAACGUUAUCCGUUUUCCAUUAAUUUUCUAUUUGUAGCACACCUUAUUUCUAGAGCCACAGUUAGCAAAUUGAUUUGCUGCUCUUAAGCAGCAGUUUCCAUUUGCAGCCUGAGAAGCGGGAUUAACACAGCGCACUCGCCGUUUUGUCUCUGUCAGUGAUACCUCACACAAAACAAUUUUUCUGUUCAGUAUGUUUGCUGAUUGAGUUUUCCUCCUGGAACGACAAGCGCCAUGAGCACGCAGCCUACUCCUUGGGCUCGAGGCCAGGUCUCCAGUGUGGGCACAGAUUACAGCUUUUUGCAGCAGCAUUGAUAGGGUGCGUAAAAAUCUGAGGAAACCAAAACAUCUCCAUUCCAAUUCACACAGUGGUGGGUACACUGUCUUCACUGCUGUCACCCCCACUCCUCUACCAGGUUUUAAACAAAACUUGCUCAGAGACUUGGGUAUCUGAAGUGUGUUUCAAUGUAUUAGAAGAUAAUCUGUUAAUUCAUCAGAUUGUUUGGGCAUAAUGCACACAAAUGAUAGUCAGCAUAAGAAACGUUGCUGUUUUUCUAUUAAU